This 465-nucleotide ribosomal RNA is filed under the name Vreelandella stevensii. RNAcentral's name for it is "partial 16S ribosomal RNA". It matches the Rfam family "Bacterial small subunit ribosomal RNA", at positions 338 to 795 of the family's 1533-position model. The record is from RNAcentral. Lineage: Bacteria; Pseudomonadati; Pseudomonadota; Gammaproteobacteria; Oceanospirillales; Halomonadaceae.
CCUACGGGGGGCUGCAGUGGGGAAUAUUGGACAAUGGGGGGAACCCUGAUCCAGCCAUGCCGCGUGUGUGAAGAAGGCCCUCGGGUUGUAAAGCACUUUCAGUGAGGAAGAACGCCUGGUGGUUAAUACCCAUCAGGAAAGACAUCACUCACAGAAGAAGCACCGGCUAACUCCGUGCCAGCAGCCGCGGUAAUACGGAGGGUGCGAGCGUUAAUCGGAAUUACUGGGCGUAAAGCGCGCGUAGGUGGCUUGAUAAGCCGGUUGUGAAAGCCCCGGGCUCAACCUGGGAACGGCAUCCGGAACUGUCAAGCUAGAGUGCAGGAGAGGAAGGUAGAAUUCCCGGUGUAGCGGUGAAAUGCGUAGAGAUCGGGAGGAAUACCAGUGGCGAAGGCGGCCUUCUGGACUAACACUGACACUGAGGUGCGAAAGCGUGGGUAGCAAACAGGAUUAGAUACCCCUGUAGUC